AAGUAACCCUUUUUAAUACAUCUAUCAUCUCAAAUCAGCCGUAAAGGUUAGUUCACCAACUUUUGGGUAAACUAUCCCUUCAAAUGUUAGUUGAGGAAGGAUAUAAUCACUAUUUUAUUCCAGAAUAACUUUUUCAAAUAGUUUAAUGUUCUUUGUUUCAUAUAUUUCAUGUUGAUAUAUUGGAUUUCAUCUUAAUCCAUAUGCAGUUGGCAUACACUAAACAUUUUGCACAACUAUGUUUCUGUGGUGUCCUCUCUAGUCUGGGAUGAUGAGGGUGUUCGGUAGAUCAGGAUAAGAAGAAUGACUCACAGAGGUGUGAGUGGCACGGUGAGGACAGAGAAUGAGGUUACUGAUAGAGUUUCGAGGAGGCCCCUGACUCUGCUGGACAGGUUGCGACUGUCAGGACACCUGGGCCACUGGAUAGAGACGAGGCCCAUGCUGCCCUCUGGGCCGGCCUGCUAGGACUCCUGGCUGUGUCCCAACUCUGACCUCCAGCCUGAUCACUUGACUCAGAGGGCUCCUGUACUGCCAUGUGCACCAUACAGCUGACAGCAGCCAAUGGUGCUCUGUCCAUCAUCA
Salvelinus sp. IW2-2015 is the source of this 579-nucleotide non-coding RNA. Lineage: Eukaryota; Metazoa; Chordata; Actinopteri; Salmoniformes; Salmonidae. The record is from RefSeq and is a predicted model, not a curated record.